GGGCUCUGACCUGAGACCUCUGGGUUCUGAGCUGUGAUGUUGCUUCCGAGCUGGGAUCUCCGGGGUCUUGGUUCAGGGUCG
Ictidomys tridecemlineatus (thirteen-lined ground squirrel) is the source of this 81-nucleotide non-coding RNA. Lineage: Eukaryota; Metazoa; Chordata; Mammalia; Rodentia; Sciuridae. The record is from Rfam.